ACCUGCCCAUCAGAGGGGGAUAACAUCCGGAAACGGAUGCUAAAACCGCAUAGGUCUUCGAACCGCAUGGUUUGAAGAGGAAAAGAGGCGCAAGCUUCUGCUGAUGGAUGGACCCGCGGUGCAUUAGCUAGUUGGUGAGGUAACGGCUCACCAAGGCCGUGAUGCAUAGCCGACCUGAGAGGGUGAUCGGCCACAUUGGGACUGAGACACGGCCCAA
RNAcentral lists this ribosomal RNA (217 nucleotides) under uncultured Carnobacteriaceae bacterium. Its description in RNAcentral is "partial 16S ribosomal RNA". It matches the Rfam family "Bacterial small subunit ribosomal RNA", at positions 124 to 334 of the family's 1533-position model. The record is from RNAcentral. Lineage: Bacteria; Bacillati; Bacillota; Bacilli; Lactobacillales; Carnobacteriaceae.